AGAGUUUGAUCUGGCUCAGAUUGAACGCUGGCGGCAUGCCUAACACAUGCAAGUCGAACGGUAACAGCAAGAGCUUGCUCUUGGCUGGGCGGACGGGUGAGUAACGCGUAGGAAUCUGCCUUGGAGUGGGGGACAACAUGGGGAAACUCAUGCUAAUACCGCAUACGCCCUACGGGGGAAAGCGGGGGAUCUUCGGACCUCGCGCUCUAAGAUGAGCCUGCGUCGGAUUAGCUUGUUGGUGAGGUAAUGGCUCACCAAGGCUACGAUCCGUAGCUGGUCUGAGAGGACGGCCAGCCACACUGGGACUGAGACACGGCCCAGACUCCUACGGGAGGCAGCAGUGGGGAAUAUUGGACAAUGGGGGCAACCCUGAUCCAGCAAUGCCGCGUGUGUGAAGAAGGCCUGCGGGUUGUAAAGCACUUUCAGCAGCGAGGAAAAGCUUAGGGUUAAUAGCCUUGAGUCUUGACGUUAACUGCAGAAGAAGCACCGGCUAACUUCGUGCAAGCAGCCGCGGUAAUACGACGGGUGAAAGAGUUAAUCGGAAUUACUGGGAGUAAAGAGCGCGUAGGCGGUUAGAUAAGUUGGGUGUGAAAUCCCUGGGCUCAACCUAGGAACUGCAUUCAAUACUGUCUAGCUAGAGGAUGGUAGAGGAAAGUGGAAUUUCAAGGUGUAGCGGUGAAAUGCGUAGAUAUCUGAAGGAACACCAGUGGCGAAGGCGGCUCUCUGGACCAAUACUGACGCUGAGGUGCGAAAGCGUGGGUAGCAAACGGGAUUAGAUACCCCGGUAGUCCACGCCGUAAACGAUGUCAACUAGCCGUUGGGAGUAUUAAAACUUUUAGUGGCGCAGCUAACGCGAUAAGUUGACCCCAUGGGGAGUACGGCCGCAAGGCUAAAACUCCAAUGAAUUGACGGGGGCCCGCACAAGCGGUGGACCACGUGGUUUAAUUCGAUGCCAAGAGAAGAUCCUUACCUACCCUUGACAUCCUCGGAACCUCGCAGAGAUGCGAGGGUGCCUUCGGGAACCUAGUGACAGGUGCUGCAUGGCUGUCGUCAGCUCGUGUCGUGAGAUGUUGGGUUAAGUCCCGUAACGAGCGCAACCCUUAUCCCUAGUUGCCAGCACAUAAUGGUGGGAACUCUAGGGAGACUGCCGGUGACAAACCGGAGGAAGGAGGGGAUGACGUCAAGUCAUCAUGGCCCUUAUGGGUAGGGCUACACACGUGCUACAAUGGCCGGUACAGAGGGCCGCAAACCCGCGAGGGGGAGCCAAUCCCAGAAAACCGGUCGUAGUCCGGAUUGGAGUCUGCAACUCGACUCCAUGAAGUCGGAAUCGCUAGUAAUCGCAGAUCAGAAUGCUGCGGUGAAUACGUUCCCGGGCCUUGUACACACCGCCCGUCACACCAUGGGAGUGGAUUGCACCAGAAGUAGGUAGCUUAACCUUCGGGAGAGCGCUUACCACGGUGUGGUUCAUGACUGGGGUGAAGUCGUAACAAGGUAGCCGUAGGGGAACCUGCGGCUGGAUCACCUCCUU
RNAcentral lists this ribosomal RNA (1528 nucleotides) under uncultured prokaryote. RNAcentral's name for it is "partial 16S ribosomal RNA". It matches the Rfam family "Bacterial small subunit ribosomal RNA". The record is from RNAcentral.